This is a long non-coding RNA of Octopus sinensis (East Asian common octopus), 2083 nucleotides long. RefSeq lists it as uncharacterized. The transcript is spliced from 2 exons. NCBI's taxonomy places the organism in Eukaryota, Metazoa, Mollusca, Cephalopoda, Octopoda, Octopodidae. The record is from RefSeq and is a predicted model, not a curated record.
UAUAUAUACAUAUACAAACACACAUAUAUAUAUUUAUACACACUCACACACAGAGAUGACAAGGGGUAUGAUUUGAAAUUAUGAUAACUGUUUUAAUUAAUGGAAAUUACACUUGUUCAAUGUUCACAAUUUAGAAAACAAAAAGGAAAAAAAACAACAAAUCUGUCCUUGCUAUGAUAGAACCGGUGGAGCAUCAAACUACAUACCUUGUACUUGGUUACGUCCCUUUACAUUCUGAGUUCAAAUCCCACCCAGGUGCACUUAACCUUGUAACCUUCUAAGGUCAAUAACAAUAAGUACUGCACUGAUGUCAAUAACUUUUCUUUAAAUUGUAGUGCUCAGCAUGGCCACAACUCCAGUGAGGGAAAGGUAGUGAAAAAUUGGAUGGAUAUAGGUUCUUGGUUCAAUCCCCAGAGUAGUAGAUUCCUGUGAAUAUUAAAAUGCAUAACAGUUUGUUUGUUUGUUUGUUUAAAGAGUAAGGUAAUGAAAUUUUGUAAUUGAAACAUAAAGACAUUAUGCCACAAAUUUACUGGUUCAAUCCCCAGGAAAAAUAAUUAAAACAUGAUACAUUCAAAUUUAUGAGUUCAGUUCCCAGGUUAGUGUGAAUUCCUGUGAUUAAACUGCAAGACAUGGUGCAUCAGCUUUAUCAAUUAAAUUCCAAGAGCACCGAAAGUCUGUGACAGAAACAUAAGACAUGACAGAAGUUUAUGAGUUCAAUACCUAGGAAAGCAAUUAAAACAGAGUGCAUUAAGGUUUAUGUGUUCAGUUCCAAGGAUAAUGAAAUUUUGUGAGAAAAAAAAAACCAAGUUGAUGGAUUAAGUUUACAAGUUCAGUACCCAGUAUAGACGUAAACAUCGGGUUUACAAGUUCAAUACCCUGGACAGUCAAAUGUUGUUAUUAAAACACAAAAUAUACUGCAUCAAGCUUUUAAGAUUUAUCUCCCAAAUAAUGAAUUUUGCUGAGUAAAACAAAAGAUAUGAUGCCUUAAGUUUACAAGUUCAAUUCCAAGGAUAGUCAAAUUCUAUUAUUAAAACAUAAGAAAUAAUUCAUGAGCUUUACAAGUUCAAUCCCUGAGAUGGUCGAAAUUUUUUGAUUGAUAUGCAAGCCAUGAUGCAGUAAAUUUUAUCUGUUCAAUUCCCAGGAUAGUGAAAUUACUACAAAACACGAUAUUAAUCACCUUUAACCUUUCAGCAUUCAAAUUACACUGUCAAACAUAAUGCUUACUCAUUGAUAUUAUUUUUAAUUAAUCCUGCAUUUGAGAUUGCAAUGAUUGUUUGUUUUUAGAAUGACAUUGCAGGGAAGGUGUGAGAGGCUGGAUCUGGCCAGUUUGAACAUAAAACAGGUAGAAUAUCUGAGCAGGCUAUACCUAUUUAUUCACAUUAUUUGAAUUAAUUAGGCAUUAUCUAUCUCAUAACUUCGAUAUUGCAAUGAUGUGAUUGUUUGUUUUUAGAAUGACAUUGCAGGGAAGGUGUGAGAGGCUGGAUCUGGCCAGUUUGAACAUAAAACUGGUAGAAUAUCUGAGCAGGCUAUACCUAUUUAUUCACAUUGUUUUGAAUUAAUCAGGCAUUAUCUAUCUCAUAACUUCGAUAUUGCAAUGAUGUGAUUGUUUAUUUUUAAAAUGACAUUGCAGGGAAAGUGUGAGAGGCUGGAUCUGACCAGUUUGAACAUAAAACUGGUAGAAUAUCUGAGCCAGAUUUCUGCAGCUCAAAUGCCAGAGAGUUAAAGCCACAAAAAUUGUCAAGAAUACAUUUAGUAAUUCAUAUUUAGUUGUUGGUUGGUUUUAUUUUGAUUAUAUUUUGUUGUUGUUUUUACAAGAGUUAUCAUUAUUAUUAUAUUAUUAUUAUUAUUAUUAUUAUUAUUAUUAUUACUAACAUUAUUAUUAUUAUUAUCAUUAUUGUUGUUGUUGUUGUUUUGUUUGUUUCUUCGAGGUAGCUAUUGAAGUGCCAAGUUUUUAUUAUUAUUAUUAUUAUUACUAUUAUUAUUAUUGUAUUAUAAAAUAUCAAAUUACAAUACAACACAUUGUAACAUAAUUUUGUAUUAAAUUAUGAAGAUAUUCAAUUCAAAAAUUAUUUUUGAAAAAUUG